UACGUAGGGUCCGAGCGUUGUCCGGAAUUAUUGGGCGUAAAGGGCUCGUAGGCGGUUUGUCGCGUCGGGAGUGAAAACCUACAGCUUAACUGUGGGCUUGCUUUCGAUACGGGCAGACUUGAGGCAUGCAGGGGAGAACGGAAUUCCUGGUGUGAGCGGUGAAAUGCGCAGAUAUCAGGAGGAACACCGGUGGCGAAGGCGGUUCUCUGGGCAUGUUCUGACGCUAGGA
This 229-nucleotide ribosomal RNA is filed under the name uncultured bacterium. RNAcentral describes it as "partial 16S ribosomal RNA". It matches the Rfam family "Bacterial small subunit ribosomal RNA", at positions 524 to 752 of the family's 1533-position model. The record is from RNAcentral.